This is a non-coding RNA of Microcebus murinus (gray mouse lemur), 1825 nucleotides long. Lineage: Eukaryota; Metazoa; Chordata; Mammalia; Primates; Cheirogaleidae. The record is from RefSeq and is a predicted model, not a curated record.
CGAACUGGGAGUGGAGAGAGUUCUGUCAGCCCUCCCCAGUUGCCCUGCAGUUUGGGGAUCUGAAGGCGCCCCCUCCCGCACACGCUUUCCUCCCGCCGCCUCCGCGGUCCCGAGCCCCACCUCCUCUCCUUGCCGCGACGUUCCCGAGUGGAUUGCGCGGCCCAAGGACCGAGCCUACCCAGUCACCGCGGCUGCUAUUGAUCCCGAGAGUGGCGGCCGCCCCUGGCGUCUUCCCUCCUCUCCCAUCACGCUUCUGUCCAACCCACGCCCCCCAGAAAAGGGCCGUUAGGUCGCGAAAGGAGGCGCCUGGGGCGGAGCCGGCCUAGGUGGUUGCUCUGUGCCGAACCGCGGGCAACUGCGCGCCCGGCCACACCCGUCCAGGAGGAGAGAGGAAGGAGCGAGCCGAGAGCAUCCCAGGACCUGCCCAUCCUGGAGGCCCAGCAAACUCUGCACAGACUCGGAGACAUCCCACGGCACUGGGCUCCGGUGAGCCAACUUCCUGACUUCAGCAGUGUGAAGAUGCUACGACAUAUUCUGGUGCUGGCAUUCAGCUGUCCCCCAAGCAGGUUGGCUGAUAUCCAUGCUGAUCCCUGGAGAGGGGCCUGAAAAGACAGUUCUGAUGACUUCAUUGCUGGUGGCAGAGGAUUUGGGGAGCAAGGGUGGGAAGGGUGAGUCCAAUUGCUGUUUAAAUUGGACUUGGCCCCCUUUACCGCCUAGUCUAAGGUGUCUCAGUAGGAGGAAAGGUAGUGAGAGAAACUUAGAAGCCAGGAAAGCAGGCAUAGGGAGGGGUUCCUUGUCUUAAUCCGGGUACUGUCAUGCCAAAAUGAAGCCCAGAGAUGGUUAAAAACAGAUUCCUAGAGAGCAGAGCUUUGAGGUUCCAUGUGGGAUCGCGGCCUGACUCUUGGGAGAUGAAGAAGUUUUGGGCAAGUUUGGAAAGACCUGCAAGCGCCAUUUGUUCAUAAUCUUUGGGGGAUAAAUGCAAUGUCUCAUCGCUGCCCAGUGGCUGCUAAGGAAGCCUUCUUAGCUUGUUUGUUGCUCAUUUGUGGUUCUGCCAUCUUCUCGCUCAUGUUCCAGUUUGGUCUUGUAGAAGAAGACCAAGCCUUCCCAGCUCUUUAGUUUUUCUUUUCCCUCUGGCUAUCCAUAAGUCAGCCAACAUUCUAGUCCGCUGGCCGGCACACAAUUUCGGAAGGUGAGCUGGCAGGCCCAUCACUAUGUGUGCAAGGUUGUUGUUGUUUGGGCCCCAGGAAGGAUAUAGUUUCAACACUUACGAGAAAGAAAAGCAGGGGAGCAUUCCUGUGAAAUCUUUCGAUGAAGAAUUUACCAUUUGAUAAGUGCAAUGCUCCAUUUCCUCUUUCUGAAUGAAUAACUUUGUCAGUUAACGCUGAGGGUCUGCAGAACCUAUGAAAAAAUGCUUCCUUUGGUCUCCCUGUUUUAACACAUGCUGGGGCAUGGGCCUUCCUGUGACAGACUGGGGAGGGGCAGACACAUUCCAGAGACCAGGUCUUGGAGUGUUAUCUCUUCGCCUACCCCAAACCCUCACCUUCCACUUUAUCUGUCUUUACUACACAUGCAGAGACCUCCUGGAGGAGUGUGAAGGGGUAGGUUUUAAUCAGGUUUGGGGAAGGAAGGAGAAGAAGGUGAGCCCAAAGAAAUAUGGGGACAGUUUGAGGUUUUUAAAUGACACUUUUCUGUUAUACUACUCAUAUGUUGUGUAUUAUAUCCUACAAAUUGUGCAUUUGUUGUAGUAGUCUACAAUGUAUGUGUGUGCUUGCCAAAUGCUGCUUGGCCAAAACAGUGUUAAAUAAAAUUGUAAGAAAUGCUGCCA